AACGAACGCUGGCGGCAGGCUUAACACAUGCAAGUCGAACGCCCCGCAAGGGGAGUGGCAGACGGGUGAGUAACACGUGGGAACAUGCCCAAAGGUACGGAAUAUCCUCGGGAAACUGGGAGCAAUACCGUAUGUGCCCGAAAGGGGAAAGAUUUAUCGCCUUUGGAUUGGCCCGCGUUGGAUUAGCUAGUUGGUGGGGUAAAAGCCUACCAAGGCGACGAUCCAUAGCUGGUCUGAGAGGACGACCAGCCACACUGGGACUGAGACACGGCCCAGACUCCUACGGGAGGCAGCAGUGGGGAAUCUUGGACAAUGGGCGCAAGCCUGAUCCAGCCAUGCCGCGUGAGUGAUGAAGGCCCUAGGGUUGUAAAACUCUUUCGUGGGGGACGAUAAUGACGGUACCCCAAGAAGAAGCUCCGGCUAACUUCGUGC
This 432-nucleotide ribosomal RNA is filed under the name uncultured bacterium. RNAcentral describes it as "bacterial SSU rRNA". It matches the Rfam family "Bacterial small subunit ribosomal RNA", at positions 29 to 508 of the family's 1533-position model. The record is from RNAcentral.